UAGGGAAUCUUCGGCAAUGGACGAAAGUCUGACCGAGCAACGCCGCGUGAGUGAAGAUGGUUUUCGGAUCGUAAAACUCUGUUGUUAGAGAAGAACAAGGGUGAGAGUAACUGUUCACCCCUUGACGGUAUCUAACCAGAAAGCCACGGCUAACUACGUGCCAA
This 164-nucleotide ribosomal RNA is filed under the name uncultured bacterium. Its description in RNAcentral is "partial 16S rRNA". It matches the Rfam family "Bacterial small subunit ribosomal RNA", at positions 355 to 511 of the family's 1533-position model. The record is from RNAcentral.